UACGAACCGAGCGAACGUUGUUCGGAAUCACUGGGCUUAAAGGGCGCGUAGGCGGGUUCUCAAGUCCGGGGUGAAAUCCCACAGCUCAACUGUGGAACUGCCUCGGAUACUGGGUGCCUCGAGGGUGGUAGGGGUAUGCGGAACUAUCGGUGGAGCGGUGGAAUGCGUUGAUAUCGAUAGGAACUCCGGUGGCGAAGGCGGCAUACUGGACCACAUCUGACGCUGAGGCGCGAAAGCCAGGGGAGCGAACGGG
Molecule: ribosomal RNA, 253 nt
Filed under: uncultured bacterium
Lineage: Bacteria
Description: partial 16S ribosomal RNA
Rfam family: Bacterial small subunit ribosomal RNA
Source: RNAcentral